CUACGGGCCGCAGCAGUGAGGAAUUUUGCGCAAUGGGGGGAACCCUGACGCAGCAACGCCGCGUGAGUGAUGAAGGCUUUCGGGUCGUAAAGCUCUGUCAAGUGGGAAGAACCUAUGCAGUGUUAAUAUCACUGUAUACUGACGGUACCACUGAAGGAAGCACCGGCUAACUCCGUGCCAGCAGCCGCGGUAAUACGGGGGGUGCAAGCGUUAUUCGGAAUCAUUGGGCGUAAAGGGCACGUAGGCGGCUUGGUAAGUCAGAUGUGAAAGCCCGGGGCUUAACCCCGGAAGUGCAUUUGAUACUGUCAGGCUUGAGUAUGGGAGAGGGAAGUGGAAUUCCUGGUGUAGAGGUGAAAUUCGCAGAUAUCAGGAGGAACACCGGUGGCGAAGGCGACUUCCUGGACCAAUACUGACGCUGAGGUGCGAAGGCGUGGGUAGCAAACAGGAUUAGAUACCCGAGUAGUC
Molecule: ribosomal RNA, 465 nt
Filed under: uncultured bacterium
Lineage: Bacteria
Description: partial 16S ribosomal RNA
Rfam family: Bacterial small subunit ribosomal RNA
Source: RNAcentral